AGCGAACGCUGGCGGCAGGCUUAACACAUGCAAGUCGAACGGUCCUUCGGGAUAGUGGCGGACGGGUGAGUAACACGUGGGAAUGUACCCUUAGGUUCGGAACAACACAGGGAAACUUGUGCUAAUACCGGAUAAGCCCUUCGGGGGAAAGAUUUAUCGCCUUUGGAGCGGCCCGCGUCUGAUUAGCUUGUUGGUGAGGUAAUGGCUCACCAAGGCUACGAUCAGUAGCUGGUCUGAGAGGAUGGCCAGCCACACUGGGACUGAGACACGGCCCAGACUCCUACGGGGGGCAGCAGUGGGGAAUCUUGCGCAAUGGGCGAAAGCCUGACGCAGCCAUGCCGCGUGGAUGAUGAAGGUCUUAGGAUUGUAAAAUCCUUUCACCGGGGACGAUAAUGACGGUACCCGGAGAAGAAGCCCCGGCUAACUUCGUGCCAGCCGCCGCAGUAA
Molecule: ribosomal RNA, 447 nt
Filed under: uncultured bacterium
Lineage: Bacteria
Description: partial 16S ribosomal RNA
Rfam family: Bacterial small subunit ribosomal RNA
Source: RNAcentral